GAUGAACGCUGGCGGCGUGCCUAAUACAUGCAAGUCGAGCGAACAGACGAGGAGCUUGCUCCUCUGACGUUAGCGGCGGACGGGUGAGUAACACGUGGAUAACCUACCUAUAAGACUGGGAUAACUUCGGGAAACCGGAGCUAAUACCGGAUAAUAUAUUGAACCGCAUGGUUCAAUAGUGAAAGACGGUUUUGCUGUCACUUAUAGAUGGAUCCGCGCCGCAUUAGCUAGUUGGUAAGGUAACGGCUUACCAAGGCGACGAUGCGUAGCCGACCUGAGAGGGGGAUCGGCCACACUGGAACUGAGACACGGUCCAGACUCCUACGGGAGGCAGCAGUAGGGAAUCUUCCGCAAUGGGCGAAAGCCUGACGGAGCAACGCCGCGUGAGUGAUGAAGGUCUUCGGAUCGUAAAACUCUGUUAUUAGGGAAGAACAAAUGUGUAAGUAACUGUGCACGUCUUGACGGUACCUAAUCAGAAAGCCACGGCUAACUACGUG
This 497-nucleotide ribosomal RNA is filed under the name uncultured bacterium. RNAcentral describes it as "partial 16S ribosomal RNA". It matches the Rfam family "Bacterial small subunit ribosomal RNA", at positions 28 to 507 of the family's 1533-position model. The record is from RNAcentral.